GACGAACGCUGGCGGCGUGCUUAACACAUGCAAGUCGAACGGAAAGGCCCUGCUUUUGUGGGGUGCUCGAGUGGCGAACGGGUGAGUAACACGUGAGUAACCUGCCCUUGACUUUGGGAUAACUUCAGGAAACUGGGGCUAAUACCGGAUAGGAGCUCCUGCUGCAUGGUGGGGGUUGGAAAGUUUCGGCGGGUGGGGAUGGACUGGCGGCUUAUCAGCUUGUUGGUGGGGUAGUGGCUUACCAAGUCUUUGACCGGUAGCCGGCCUGAGAGGGUGGCCGGCCACAUUGGGCCUGAGAUACGGCCCAGACUCCUACGGGAGGCAGCAGUGGGGAAUAUUGCACAAUGGGAGGAAGCCUGAUGCAGAGACGCCGCGGGCGGGAUGACGGCCUUCGGGUUGUAAACCGCUUUCGCCUGUGACGAAGCGUGAGUGACGGUAAUGGGUAAAGAAGCACCGGCUAACUACGUG
RNAcentral lists this ribosomal RNA (468 nucleotides) under uncultured bacterium. RNAcentral describes it as "partial 16S ribosomal RNA". It matches the Rfam family "Bacterial small subunit ribosomal RNA", at positions 28 to 507 of the family's 1533-position model. The record is from RNAcentral.